RNAcentral lists this transfer-messenger RNA (317 nucleotides) under Alphaproteobacteria bacterium 62-8. It matches the Rfam family "Alphaproteobacteria transfer-messenger RNA". From Rfam's summary of the family: Bacterial tmRNA, also known as 10Sa RNA or SsrA, is named for its dual tRNA and mRNA-like properties. Its role is to liberate the mRNA from a stalled ribosome. Lineage: Bacteria; Pseudomonadati; Pseudomonadota; Alphaproteobacteria. The record is from RNAcentral.
GGCUUCAAAGUUUAACUCGUCAUCUCUAUAUUAGAACCGUUCGGGCUUGCCCGGACUAUGGCGAUAAACGGCUGCGUAAUAAGCGGACUGGACCCGGGGGCGGUACCCGGCGCCUCCACCAAAUGCUCUCCCAUUCACGGAGAGUAUCUGUGGGGGCGAAACAGGAUCGACAGACGUGUAAAGGCUGACCUUUCGCCCGGUAUGGUAUCCGCCGUUAUCGGGCUAAUCGUAACAGGUGCCAACGAUAAUGAAAUGGCCCUCGCUGCCUAAUAGGUAAGCGCGGUUGGAGGGGUACCGGGCAACAGAAACCCCUCGCU